GGAGUUUGGGCCGUGUCUCAGUCCCAAUGUGGCCGAUCACUCUCUCAAGUCGGCUACUGAUCGUUGCCUUGGUAGGCCGUUACCCUGCCAACUAGCUAAUCAGGCGCAGGCCCAUCUUUUAGCACCGGAGUUUUCAAGAAUAGCAUUUCAGCUACGCUCAUAUGGGGUAUUAGCAGAAGUUUCCCUCUGUUGUCCCCCACUAAAAGGCAGGUUUCCUACGUGUUACUCACCCGUCCGCCACUUUCCACUAGAGCAAGCUCUAGCUUCUCGUUCGACUUGCAUGUAUGAAGCACGCCGCCAGCGUUGUCCUCGAGCCACGGAGUCAAACUACU
RNAcentral lists this ribosomal RNA (332 nucleotides) under uncultured cyanobacterium. Its description in RNAcentral is "partial 16S ribosomal RNA". Lineage: Bacteria; Bacillati; Cyanobacteriota. The record is from RNAcentral.